This 465-nucleotide ribosomal RNA is filed under the name uncultured bacterium. RNAcentral describes it as "partial 16S ribosomal RNA". It matches the Rfam family "Bacterial small subunit ribosomal RNA", at positions 338 to 795 of the family's 1533-position model. The record is from RNAcentral.
CCUACGGGUGACAGCAGUGGGGAAUAUUGCGCAAUGGGCGAAAGCCUGACGCAGCGACGCCGCGUGAGGGAUGAAGGUCUUCGGAUCGUAAACCUCUGUCAGCAGGGAAGAACGGUCACUGUGCUAAUCAGCAGUGACUUGACGGUACCUGCAAAGGAAGCACCGGCUAACUCCGUGCCAGCAGCCGCGGUAAUACGGCGGGUGCGAGCGUUAAUCGGAAUUACUGGGCGUAAAGCGCUCGUAGGCGGUAUGUCAAGUCAAGGGUGAAAUCCCCGCGCUCAACGUGGGAACUGCCUUUGAAACUGGCAAACUGGAGUAUAUGAGAGGAUAGUGGAAUUCCAGGUGUAGGAGUGAAAUCCGUAGAUAUCUGGAGGAACAUCAGUGGCGAAGGCGACUAUCUGGCACAUAACUGACGCUGAGGAGCGAAAGCGUGGGUAGCAAACAGGAUUAGAUACCCGGGUAGUC